Long non-coding RNA from Ostrea edulis (European flat oyster), 1165 nucleotides. RefSeq lists it as uncharacterized. The transcript is spliced from 2 exons. Lineage: Eukaryota; Metazoa; Mollusca; Bivalvia; Ostreida; Ostreidae. The record is from RefSeq and is a predicted model, not a curated record.
AAGACACGUGGUCAGUUGCUGAAGAAAUUCCGGUGAAAACAUGCAGGGUCUAGCAAAAGGUCUGUAGCUGAGGGAAGGUGGAUGGCCCCAUAUGAGAGAUUUUUAACUACGACCCCCCUGGAAGAGUUUCUCCAACACGGAGUCAUAAAUUUUAAAAAUACAUGUGUCCGUCUGUGGGAAUUUCCCCAUACAAUGCUGGAAGUCACGCGGUACCCUCAUCCUCAUAUUCAAUUUAAAUAUCGUGUUGCAUUGAAGCAGUGGCAGGUCAGGAUAUUUCUGAAAAGGGAUGCAAUAAAAGGAUAGGGAACUGCCUGAAUGCCCAGAGGGACCAGGGCGAAGCUCUCAAGUUAUACCAAAUAAGAAGUAUAUGUAUUUUUGUAUCUUGGACAAAUUUCUAUUUUAAAAAUGGAUCAUAUUAGUGGGCUGGAUCCGCCACUGGAAACAUUAACCUGUUCCCAUAUCAUCAGGAUCACUACCUGUAUAGAAGCGUCAUUAGUCAUAGUUAGUCAGCCUUGGUGGGUGGACGAGGAUUAAGCCCGAAGAUUAAACUAUUCAAAUGAUUAACAUUGGAUAAUCCAGUCCCACAAUCCGGUUACUGACCUCGUUUAAUCAUCUAAGCUUUUUGCUAUAUUUUGUUGUGUGAAAAUCUGAUUCCAAAUGAUUUCAUAUAUUAUACAAUGGGAAAAAAUGCAUAUAUUAGCUCACCCGGACUGUAUUAUUUCAGGAAGACCUUUUUAUUUUAGAGUUUGGAAUCAGACCUGGAGGUUAUAACACGUUUUUGAGCACGUUUUCAUACACAAUGCUCCAAGUCGUACUGAUACUCAAAAGUGAGGGUUAUAAAACUUCUAUAAAAUCAUUCUCACACUCAAAUGGAGUACAUGGAAUACGAGUAUUCUUCGGAGCUUCCUCAGAGUUGCACUAAAACAAACAUGGCUGAGUUUGACUACAGUAAAAGUUUUAAUUAUAAUCUCCAGGCCUGGUUUUGUAUGUACAGAAUUUCAGAUACACAUUUUAUUUUUAGAGUUUGUAUGUAUAGAAUUUUAGAUACACAUUUUAUUUUUAGAGUUUGGAAUCUGGUUUUGUAUGUAUAGAAUUUUAGAUACACAUUUUAUUUUAGAGUUUGGAAUUUGGUUUUGUAUGAAUAUAAUUUCAGAUACACAAUUUA